CCACAGCGCCCUGGUAAUUUGGACAAAUAUUCUGGAUGUUUCUGCGAAGGUGUUUUUUGGAUGGGAUUAACAUUUAAAUCAGUGGACUUUGACUAAAGCAGAUUACCUUUCCCCAAUGUGGGUGGGCCUUAUCCAAUCAUUUGAAGGCCUGGAAAGAGCAGAAGGCUGACCUCCCCUGAGCGAGAAGGAAUUCGGGCCCCCAACUGCCUUUGGACUGGAACCGCAGCUCGUCCCUGAGUGUCCAGCCUGCCGGCCUCUCCCAUCAGAUUUUGGACUCGUUGAGCUUCCGCAAUCGAAUGUUGUGAACAUCUGCCCUCAUUCAGCCUCGUCAUCCUCACUCUGGAAGGUAGACUGGGCCCCAUUAACUACGAAGAGAGCAACGGAAACGAGGGAAGAAGCGCGUCAGUCCCUCCCACCACAUCUACGCGGUCUUCUCUCUCCUCCAAGGCCAGAGGAAGACAUUUACUGUUUGCUGAAUUAGAAAUCAGACGGAAAACCAUCCCAGGCUUUGAGUGCUCAAAGACAUGAUCCAGAAGUCAAGCCUUUCUUCCCAUUCUAUUAUACCCUUCUCAGGAUCAGGCACCAAGUUCAGAAUAAUACAACUGAUGAGGUAUUUUACACCAAAACCCAUCCUUAGCUGUUCUCCUAGAUGCCCGCUAGCACCUGACUCAGUGUGACCUCACAAGCAAAGGUAGGGAGGGGUGUGUGUUAGCAAUAAUUAUAAUAGGUAUGCUUCAUGUAUGUUUCAUGAGAUCAACAGUAAACUGUCUUGUAGUUUAGGCUCACGACACAGGGAAAGUUGUCAAGUCAAAGAAGCUCAAGUUACUUUAGGUUUACCUUUUACUACUAUAGGAAAUGGUAUCUCUUUUCAAGCAUUGUAGUGAUAGCAUUCAUGUUUAUGGGUGUAAGGGCUAGUGAAGUGGCUGUUUUAGUUUUUAGGAUUUUAUUUAUUUGU
This is a long non-coding RNA of Mustela erminea (ermine), 955 nucleotides long. RefSeq lists it as uncharacterized. NCBI's taxonomy places the organism in Eukaryota, Metazoa, Chordata, Mammalia, Carnivora, Mustelidae. The record is from RefSeq and is a predicted model, not a curated record. The transcript has 4 exons.